This 440-nucleotide ribosomal RNA is filed under the name uncultured bacterium. Its description in RNAcentral is "partial 16S ribosomal RNA". It matches the Rfam family "Bacterial small subunit ribosomal RNA", at positions 338 to 795 of the family's 1533-position model. The record is from RNAcentral.
CCUACGGGAGGCAGCAGUGGGGGAUAUUGCACAAUGGGGGAAACCCUGAUGCAGCGACGCCGCGUGAGUGAAGAAGUAUUUCGGUAUGUAAAGCUCUAUCAGCAGGGAAGAAAAUGACGGUACCUGACUAAGAAGCCCCGGCUAACUACGUGCCAGCAGCCGCGGUAAUACGUAGGGGGCAAGCGUUAUCCGGAUUUACUGGGUGUAAAGGGAGCGUAGACGGCUGUAUAAGUCUGAAGUGAAAGCCCGUGGCUCAACCGCGGGACUGCUUUGGAAACUGUAAAGCUGGAGUACGGGAGAGGCAGGCGGAAUUCCUGGUGUAGCGGUGAAAUGCGUAGAUAUCAGGAGGAACACCGGCGGCGAAGGCGGCCUGCUGGACUGAAACUGACGUUGAGGCUCGAAAGCGUGGGGAGCAAACAGGAUUAGAUACCCCUGUAGUC